GUGAUUACAGCAUCUGCCUCUGCAUGGGCAACACAUAUACUAAAAUCGGAGCGAUACAGAGAUGAUGAGCAUGGCCUCUGUGCAAGGAUGGCAUGCAGAUUCAUGAAACAUUCCAUAUUUUG
Small nuclear RNA from Gopherus agassizii (Agassiz's desert tortoise), 122 nucleotides. The record is from Ensembl. NCBI's taxonomy places the organism in Eukaryota, Metazoa, Chordata, Testudines, Testudinidae.